AAAUUCAAGCAUCAACUCCACUUAGUUUUAAAGUUACAUUCAAGCUCUAAAUCAACUCAUUAAAGAUACGAACAAAACAAAAUCUAAAGAAAAUUGCAAACCCAUGUGAAAUUCACAUUAAUAGAAUGCAUCAAAAAAGGUAGCGCCAAUUCAUUCACAAAAUAGCAAACAAAAACAGAUUUAAGACAUAAGAGUUAGAAAUGGACCUCAAAAGAUGACUUCUGUUAAUUAACUUUUCUUGGCUUGAACGAACAAAUAUGAAAAUGACCUCCGGUAGAUAACACAACCACGAACAAAUACAGAACUUGAAGCUCGAGCAGGAACCGCGAAUCUGCCCGGAAACCUCGGACUACGACUUUCGACGAACUCGGAACUCAACAGAAAUUAAAACACCAAUUAAUGACUGAAGAUGGUCUCAAAGGAGCAACGACAGUAUUUCCCAAAAAAGAACGACGGGAACAGAACGAGAAGAUGCAAAUCGCUGAAAAAUUCAACCAAAGCACAGCGUAUCCAGAAGAUAAUAAACGGGGUAGUAGAGCAUAGCAAAUCACUGAAAAAGCAUUUUCCGACGAAAGCACACACAAACAAAGCCACGCCUGUCUGAGACAGUCAUUCCUAAGAACACUACUUCAGCAACUAAACGGAGUAGCGACUGUGAGAAGAAGGGAGUGGCACGCGACAGCAACGAGGGAAGAGAGACAGCAGCGGUGCUGGUGGUUGCUAACUCGCCGUAUUCCAGUGCUUGGCGGUAAGGGAGCGGCGGCUGUGGUGGUGUAUAGAAGAGCGACGACUGGUUCAUUUUAGGUGGAGGGUUUGUCUUGUGAUCUUCAGAUUUUGGUCUUACGUCUUGUGUGCGAGAGAUGGGGUGGGCGAUGGGGCUUGGAGAUGUGGAGAAGAUGGGAGAUUAGGGAGGGCUGUGUGCGUUUUUCCGGCGAGUUUGGUUUCUGGCGCGGCGGCUUCAAGUGGUGGGCGGCGGCUGUCUAGGUAUGGGGUUCUAGGGUUCCGCUAGUGUGUUCCCUUCUUCGUGAAGAUGGCUGCUCCCUUUUGUAUAUUAGGUUCGAGGUUUUUUUUUUUGUAAGUCUUUGUGUAAGGAAUAAGAAGACAAGGGUAGGGUUAGUGGAUCAAUUGAGCCAAUUAUUUUUGGGCUCAAAUUCUAUGGGCUAGACAAUUUAAAUGAGCUGAAAAUUUAAUUUACUUUAUUUUUAAAAAUUACUUAUAACAAGGAAUAAAAUAACUCUCUAUUAAUUUUAAUAAACUAUUAUAUUUAAAAUAAAACUACAAAUUAAAGUUGAAACUAUUUUUGGUAUUUUUAAAGAUUAUAUUAAAAUAAAAUAAAAAUAGGUUUAAAGUAAUAUAUCCUUCUAAAAAUAUCUAAUACGUGAAGUAAGUAGAGAAAUAUGGAACUAUUUUUGUAAUUUUCAAUUUUUGUUCUUAAAAUAAUGUAAAAUAGUUAAAACUAGGUAAAAUAGCAAUAUUAGGCCUAAACUAAAUAUCUAAAAGCUAAAAAGUGUAAAAUCUCGGGGAGGGUCAAAAAUUACAUGUCAACAGCUGCCCCUCUUUGACUGGAAACACGAAGCGUUUUCAGAUAAAGGACGACGAGACAAGUUUUUUGACCCGACACUUAUUUAAAGAGACCAAAAUUUAAAAGAAAGGAGAAUGUGACCGAGCCCUGGUAUCUGAGCUGCCUACAUAUCCUUGGCUAUAAAGGAAUCACGCCACGUGUAGUUCAGAAGUAGGAACAGUGAUGGAGUGUACCGAGGUGGAGAGCCGAUUGAGGAGCCGUCGAGGUUCCGGUCCGCGGUCCCUACCAUUACUUCGAAAAUAAAAGGAAAAAUUACAGCAGAAAUAAAAGAAAAAUACAAGAUCCUAUCUACUUCUUGUCUUGAAUCUUCCUUGAAUCUCGACUUGAUCUUCAAUAUGAAACUAAAAAAUGGACCAUGUUCUUCGGGCGGGCUCCUGAUGCUUCUUGAACUUGAAAAUUAAAAGUUCACCCUAUUCUUCAGGCGGGGCUCCUGACGCCUCUUGAAUUUGAGAAUUGAAAGUAACUCUGAAAUGAAUUCUCUCAUUUUCCAGGUGGGCACCUGCCAGUGACUUAAAACUUGAAUUGAAUUCCCUCAUUCUCCAGGUGGGCGCCUGCUAC
Molecule: long non-coding RNA, 2140 nt
Filed under: Nicotiana tabacum (common tobacco)
Lineage: Eukaryota; Viridiplantae; Streptophyta; Magnoliopsida; Solanales; Solanaceae
Description: long non-coding RNA (NTAB_LNC007117)
Source: RNAcentral